AAAUCUGCUCCACUCUUCAAAAUUGGUUCUACUUUCAUGCUUCUAUGUAACCACGAUGGACGGAGAGGGUGAGCAACAAAUGACGGGACCGUGAUAGAGGGUGAGCAGUCAGCAGUGAAUGAUGGUGAUGAUGUCGUUGCCUGUCGAUGGGGGCUCCGCCAUAGCGAUUAUUGAUUGGUUUUGCCCUCCAUCUCACCACCGCAUUUUUUGUAGAUUGUGAAAUUAAAGCCUUCUAUGUUUUUUUUUGUUUUGCAGUUGCUUUUGAUAGUAGGGCUUGCAAUCCUUUUGAGAAACUUACGUGAUUGGAUACUCCUUUAAUCGUCGUCAAGGACAAGGAACAAUAUAACGCAUGGGGAACAAUACCGGGCUAUAGAGAUAACUCUGUUAUGCAUUAAAAACAAGUGGGUGGUAUACCUGCUCUAAAAUGGUCUGAUGUAGAUUGAGAGAGACAAUUGUUCAUCACGUAAACUGUAAUUGGAGUUGACCACAUUCUUGAAUAACUGUCCCAAUAAUCCUUAAACUGG
This is a long non-coding RNA of Helianthus annuus (common sunflower), 524 nucleotides long. RefSeq lists it as uncharacterized. The record is from RefSeq and is a predicted model, not a curated record. The transcript is spliced from 3 exons. Lineage: Eukaryota; Viridiplantae; Streptophyta; Magnoliopsida; Asterales; Asteraceae.